Molecule: ribosomal RNA, 253 nt
Filed under: uncultured bacterium
Lineage: Bacteria
Description: partial 16S ribosomal RNA
Rfam family: Bacterial small subunit ribosomal RNA
Source: RNAcentral
UACGUAGGGUGCAAGCGUUAAUCGGAAUUACUGGGCGUAAAGCGUGCGCAGGCGGUUUUGUAAGGCUGGCGUGAAAUCCCCGGGCUCAACCUGGGAAUUGCGAUGGAGACUGCAAGGCUGGAGUCUGGCAGAGGGGGGUAGAAUUCCACGUGUAGCAGUGAAAUGCGUAGAGAUGUGGAGGAACACCGAUGGCGAAGGCAGCCCCCUGGGUCAAGACUGACGCUCAUGCACGAGAGCGUGGGGAGCAAACAGG